UCAGUGCUUAUUAUUGACCUCCAGGGGACCCACAACCAAUGUUCCCUCCAAAAAAAAUUGGGCACUGAGCAAAUUUCAGGUCUGCUGAGUGUAAACUUGAACGUUGUGAAAAUUCUGUGCAACUUCCAGCACGUGUUUACUGUGAACACCGAGGCUGUAUCCGCUUUAAGUUACAGUUUUACUGUGAACACUGAGGCUGUAUCCGCUUUAAGUUACAGUUUUACUGUGAACACUGAGGCUGUAUCCGCUUUAAGUUACAGUUUUACUGUGAACACCGAGGCUGUAUCCGCUUUAAGUUACAGUUUUACUGUGAACAGUGAGGCUGUAUCCGCUUUAAGUUACAGUUUUACUGUGAACACUGAGGCUGUAUCCGCUUUAAGUUACAGUUUUACUGUGAACACCGAGGCUGUAUCCGCUUUAAGUUACAGUUUUACUGUGAACACUGAGGCUGUAUCCGCUUUAAGUUACAGUUUUACUGUGAACACUGAAGCUGUAUCCGCUUUAAGUUACAGUUUUACUGUGAACACUGAGGCUGUAUCCGCUUUAAGUUACAGUUUUACUGUGAACACUGAAGCUGUAUCCGCUUUAAGUUACAGUUUUACUGUGAACACUGAGGCUGUAUCCGCUUUAAGUUACAGUUUUACUGUGAACACUGAGGCUGUAUCCGCUUUAAGUUACAGUUUUACUGUGAACACUGAGGCUGUAUCCGCUUUAAGUUACAGUUUUACUGUGAACACCGAGGCUGUAUCCGCUUUAAGUUACAGUUUUACUGUGAACAGUGAGGCUGUAUCCGCUUUAAGUUACAGUUUUACUGUGAACACUGAGGCUGUAUCCGCUUUAAGUUACAGUUUUACUGUGAACACCGAGGCUGUAUCCGCUUUAAGUUACAGUUUUACUGUGAACACUGAGGCUGUAUCCGCUUUAAGUUACAGUUUUACUGUGAACACUGAAGCUGUAUCCGCUUUAAGUUACAGUUUUACUGUGAACACUGAGGCUGUAUCCGCUUUAAGUUACAGCUUUAACAGUGGCCAUGUAGGCUACUGUGGCUAUUUGAUCAUAAUGUAG
This 1065-nucleotide long non-coding RNA is filed under the name Oncorhynchus mykiss (rainbow trout). Its description in RNAcentral is "lncRNA (ENSOMYG00000065734.1)". Lineage: Eukaryota; Metazoa; Chordata; Actinopteri; Salmoniformes; Salmonidae. The record is from RNAcentral.